This 351-nucleotide ribosomal RNA is filed under the name Bacillus sp. GR1-4. Its description in RNAcentral is "bacterial SSU rRNA". It matches the Rfam family "Bacterial small subunit ribosomal RNA", at positions 128 to 472 of the family's 1533-position model. The record is from RNAcentral. Lineage: Bacteria; Bacillati; Bacillota; Bacilli; Caryophanales; Bacillaceae.
GCCUGUACGACUCGGAUAACUCCGGGAAACCGGAGCUAAUACCGGAUAGUUCCUUGAACCGCAUGGUUCAAGGAUGAAAGACGGUUUCGGCUGUCACUUACAGAUGGACCCGCGGCGCAUUAGCUAGUUGGUGGGGUAAUGGCUCACCAAGGCGACGAUGCGUAGCCGACCUGAGAGGGUGAUCGGCCACACUGGGACUGAGACACGGCCCAGACUCCUACGGGAGGCAGCAGUAGGGAAUCUUCCGCAAUGGACGAAAGUCUGACGGAGCAACGCCGCGUGAGUGAUGAAGGUUUUCGGAUCGUAAAGCUCUGUUGUUAGGGAAGAACAAGUGCGAGAGUAACUGCUCGC